AGUGAACGCUGGCGGUAGGCCUAACACAUGCAAGUCGAACGGCAGCACAGAGGAGCUUGCUCCUUGGGUGGCGAGUGGCGGACGGGUGAGGAAUACAUCGGAAUCUACUCUGUCGUGGGGGAUAACGUAGGGAAACUUACGCUAAUACCGCAUACGACCUACGGGUGAAAGCAGGGGAUCUUCGGACCUUGCGCGAUUGAAUGAGCCGAUGUCGGAUUAGCUAGUUGGCGGGGUAAAGGCCCACCAAGGCGACGAUCCGUAGCUGGUCUGAGAGGAUGAGCAGCCACACUGGAACUGAGACACGGUCCAGACUCGUACGGGAGGCAGCAGUGGGGAAUAUUGGACAAUGGGCGCAAGCCUGAUCCAGCCAUACCGCGUGGGUGAAGAAGGCCUUCGGGUUGUAAAGCCCUUUUGUUGGGAAAGAAAUCCAUCUGGUUAAUACCCGGGUGGGAUGACGGUACCCAAAGAAUAAGCACCGGCUAACUUCGUGCCAGCCGCCGCAGUAA
This 506-nucleotide ribosomal RNA is filed under the name uncultured bacterium. Its description in RNAcentral is "partial 16S ribosomal RNA". It matches the Rfam family "Bacterial small subunit ribosomal RNA", at positions 29 to 523 of the family's 1533-position model. The record is from RNAcentral.